GCGGAAAUUUGCAGGAAGAAUUGGGGUUUGUGUGUGGCGGGGUGGGGAAUUCCCGAGGGGCGUCGACUGCUCGAUGGAAACCCCCGCGCGGGCUGCCCUUGGCGGCGCUUCUUCAGCUAUGCAACCAAGAUACCUGGUUGACUUGUGCAAGAUCAAACUGGAAGAAAAGCAAAGAAAGAAAAUGAAAACACAAGAAUGGUCAAUUAUCAACUCUUUAGGGUGACCAGCUUAUCCGGGUUUGCCUGGGACCGUCCCAAUUUUAACACUGAAAGUAUGGCAUCUUAGGAACUCCCUCUGUUUUGGACAGACCUGAACAACUGGUGAUUCCAUUGGUCACCAUCUGGCGAAUUUCGGCUACAGAUCACAUGGAUUAUUAGAAGACAAAGGCAACCCAUUUAUGACCUGAAGGAACCCGGGUUAUUGGGGGAUACCAUUGAAAUCCACGUCACAAGGGGUGCUGUGCAUGUCCUGUCUCUAUACCUCUC
Molecule: long non-coding RNA, 485 nt
Organism: Hippopotamus amphibius kiboko
Lineage: Eukaryota; Metazoa; Chordata; Mammalia; Artiodactyla; Hippopotamidae
Exons: 4
Source: RefSeq, a predicted model, not a curated record